RNAcentral lists this ribosomal RNA (2900 nucleotides) under Klebsiella pneumoniae. RNAcentral describes it as "bacterial LSU rRNA". It matches the Rfam family "Bacterial large subunit ribosomal RNA". Lineage: Bacteria; Pseudomonadati; Pseudomonadota; Gammaproteobacteria; Enterobacterales; Enterobacteriaceae. The record is from RNAcentral.
UUAAGCGACUAAGCGUACACGGUGGAUGCCCUGGCAGUCAGAGGCGAUGAAGGACGUGCUAAUCUGCGAAAAGCGUCGGUAAGGUGAUAUGAACCGUUAUAACCGGCGAUGUCCGAAUGGGGAAACCCAGUGUGAUUCGUCACACUAUCGUUAACUGAAUACAUAGGUUAACGAGGCGAACCGGGGGAACUGAAACAUCUAAGUACCCCGAGGAAAAGAAAUCAACCGAGAUUCCCCCAGUAGCGGCGAGCGAACGGGGAGCAGCCCAGAGUCUGAAUCAGCUUGUGUGUUAGUGGAACGGUCUGGAAAGUCCGACGGUACAGGGUGAUAGUCCCGUACACCAAAAUGCACAGGUUGUGAACUCGAAGAGUAGGGCGGGACACGUGGUAUCCUGUCUGAAUAUGGGGGGACCAUCCUCCAAGGCUAAAUACUCCUGACUGACCGAUAGUGAACCAGUACCGUGAGGGAAAGGCGAAAAGAACCCCGGCGAGGGGAGUGAAAAAGAACCUGAAACCGUGUACGUACAAGCAGUGGGAGCACCUUCGGGUGUGACUGCGUACCUUUUGUAUAAUGGGUCAGCGACUUAUAUUCUGUAGCAAGGUUAACCGUAUAGGGGAGCCGCAGGGAAACCGAGUCUUAACUGGGCGUUAAGUUGCAGGGUAUAGACCCGAAACCCGGUGAUCUAGCCAUGGGCAGGUUGAAGGUUGGGUAACACUAACUGGAGGACCGAACCGACUAAUGUUGAAAAAUUAGCGGAUGACUUGUGGCUGGGGGUGAAAGGCCAAUCAAACCGGGAGAUAGCUGGUUCUCCCCGAAAGCUAUUUAGGUAGCGCCUCGUGAAUUCAUCUUCGGGGGUAGAGCACUGUUUCGGCUAGGGGGUCAUCCCGACUUACCAACCCGAUGCAAACUACGAAUACCGAAGAAUGUUAUCACGGGAGACACACGGCGGGUGCUAACGUCCGUCGUGAAGAGGGAAACAACCCAGACCGCCAGCUAAGGUCCCAAAGUCAUGGUUAAGUGGGAAACGAUGUGGGAAGGCACAGACAGCCAGGAUGUUGGCUUAGAAGCAGCCAUCAUUUAAAGAAAGCGUAAUAGCUCACUGGUCGAGUCGGCCUGCGCGGAAGAUGUAACGGGGCUAAACCAUGCACCGAAGCUGCGGCAGCGACACUAUGUGUUGUUGGGUAGGGGAGCGUUCUGUAAGCCUGCGAAGGUGUGCUGUGAGGCAUGCUGGAGGUAUCAGAAGUGCGAAUGCUGACAUAAGUAACGAUAAAGCGGGUGAAAAGCCCGCUCGCCGGAAGACCAAGGGUUCCUGUCCAACGUUAAUCGGGGCAGGGUGAGUCGACCCCUAAGGCGAGGCCGAAAGGCGUAGUCGAUGGGAAACAGGUUAAUAUUCCUGUACUUGGUGUUACUGCGAAGGGGGGACGGAGAAGGCUAUGUUAGCCGGGCGACGGUUGUCCCGGUUUAAGCAUGUAGGCUGGUUAUCCAGGCAAAUCCGGAUAAUCAAGGCUGAGGUGUGAUGACGAGGCACUACGGUGCUGAAGUAACAAAUGCCCUGCUUCCAGGAAAAGCCUCUAAGCAUCAGGUAACAUCAAAUCGUACCCCAAACCGACACAGGUGGUCAGGUAGAGAAUACCAAGGCGCUUGAGAGAACUCGGGUGAAGGAACUAGGCAAAAUGGUGCCGUAACUUCGGGAGAAGGCACGCUGGUGUGUAGGUGAAGCCCCUGCGGGUGGAGCUGAGACCAGUCGAAGAUACCAGCUGGCUGCAACUGUUUAUUAAAAACACAGCACUGUGCAAACACGAAAGUGGACGUAUACGGUGUGACGCCUGCCCGGUGCCGGAAGGUUAAUUGAUGGGGUUAUCCGUAAGGAGAAGCUCUUGAUCGAAGCCCCGGUAAACGGCGGCCGUAACUAUAACGGUCCUAAGGUAGCGAAAUUCCUUGUCGGGUAAGUUCCGACCUGCACGAAUGGCGUAAUGAUGGCCAGGCUGUCUCCACCCGAGACUCAGUGAAAUUGAACUCGCUGUGAAGAUGCAGUGUACCCGCGGCAAGACGGAAAGACCCCGUGAACCUUUACUAUAGCUUGACACUGAACAUUGAGCCUUGAUGUGUAGGAUAGGUGGGAGGCUUUGAAGCGUGGACGCCAGUCUGCGUGGAGCCAACCUUGAAAUACCACCCUUUAAUGUUUGAUGUUCUAACGUUGGCCCCUGACCGGGGUUGCGGACAGUGUCUGGUGGGUAGUUUGACUGGGGCGGUCUCCUCCCAAAGCGUAACGGAGGAGCACGAAGGUUAGCUAAUCCUGGUCGGACAUCAGGAGGUUAGUGCAAUGGCAUAAGCUAGCUUGACUGCGAGCGUGACGGCGCGAGCAGGUGCGAAAGCAGGUCAUAGUGAUCCGGUGGUUCUGAAUGGAAGGGCCAUCGCUCAACGGAUAAAAGGUACUCCGGGGAUAACAGGCUGAUACCGCCCAAGAGUUCAUAUCGACGGCGGUGUUUGGCACCUCGAUGUCGGCUCAUCACAUCCUGGGGCUGAAGUAGGUCCCAAGGGUAUGGCUGUUCGCCAUUUAAAGUGGUACGCGAGCUGGGUUUAGAACGUCGUGAGACAGUUCGGUCCCUAUCUGCCGUGGGCGCUGGAGAAUUGAGGGGGGCUGCUCCUAGUACGAGAGGACCGGAGUGGACGCAUCACUGGUGUUCGGGUUGUCAUGCCAAUGGCACUGCCCGGUAGCUAAAUGCGGAAGAGAUAAGUGCUGAAAGCAUCUAAGCACGAAACUUGCCCCGAGAUGAGUUCUCCCUGAGACUUUAAGUCUCCUGAAGGAACGUUGAAGACGACGACGUUGAUAGGCCGGGUGUGUAAGCGCAGCGAUGCGUUGAGCUAACCGGUACUAAUGAACCGUGAGGCUUAACCUU